UAUGAAAAAUACAUCACCACUUGCAUAUGUUACCAUCAUCCAGAUCCGCAGUUGGUGGGGAGCCCCGGUUACGGUGAGGAUUUGGAGAACCUUUCCCUGAAAGUGGGAAGUCCUACGCGGUGAGUCCACCCAUAGGUGAGGCUUCCAAAGUCGCUGUGAGCCAUUCCAGCCUUAUAUACCUAAAAAUCAACAAGCAGAGUAGCUAGUACCUUUGUUUUAAGUGGAAAUAUCUGGUUCCAUUCUCACAUUAGAUUCUCCCAGAGCCUGACCAGGGCUCAGGGGAGAAACUAAGGGAGUUUCCCAGCUUAUCUAAUUGAUUUAUGAGCAAGGUCACACACCAGGUCACAGGGCCAGACAGCUGUCUCUGUGACCCUGUUAUCUUGCCUUUUCAUCUUAUUUGCACUCGCAAAGAAGGC
Long non-coding RNA from Athene cunicularia (burrowing owl), 416 nucleotides. RefSeq lists it as uncharacterized. The transcript is spliced from 4 exons. Lineage: Eukaryota; Metazoa; Chordata; Aves; Strigiformes; Strigidae. The record is from RefSeq and is a predicted model, not a curated record.